GGCGACGGGUGAGUAACGCGUGGGUAACCCUGCCCUAUAGAGGGGGAUAACGUUCGGAAACGAACGCUAAUACCGCAUAAACCAUAAGGAGCUGCAUGGCUCUGAUGGCAAAGAUUUAUCGCUAUAGGAUGGACCUGCGUUGGAUUAGCUAGUUGGUGAGAUAACAGCUCACCAAGGCGACGAUCCAUAGCCGGCCUGAGAGGGUGAACGGCCACAUUGGGACUGAGACACGGCCCAAACUCCUACGGGAGGCAGCAGUGGGGAAUAUUGCACAAUGGGCGCAAGCCUGAUGCCAGCGACGCCGCGUGAAGGAAGAAGGCCUUCGGAUUGUAAACUUCUAUCAGCAGGGAAGAAUAAAUGACGGUACCUGACUAAGAAGCCCCGGCUAACUACGUGCCAGCAGCGGC
Molecule: ribosomal RNA, 407 nt
Filed under: uncultured bacterium
Lineage: Bacteria
Description: bacterial SSU rRNA
Rfam family: Bacterial small subunit ribosomal RNA
Source: RNAcentral